Molecule: ribosomal RNA, 599 nt
Filed under: uncultured Micropruina sp.
Lineage: Bacteria; Bacillati; Actinomycetota; Actinomycetes; Propionibacteriales; Nocardioidaceae
Description: bacterial SSU rRNA
Rfam family: Bacterial small subunit ribosomal RNA
Source: RNAcentral
GGGCCGCACAAGCGGCGGAGCAUGCGGAUUAAUUCGAUGCAACGCGAAGAACCUUACCUGGGUUUGACAUAUACCGGAAACACCUAGAGAUAGGUGCCCCGCAAGGUCGGUAUACAGGUGGUGCAUGGCUGUCGUCAGCUCGUGUCGUGAGAUGUUGGGUUAAGUCCCGCAACGAGCGCAACCCUCGUUCUAUGUUGCCAGCGGUUCGGCCGGGGACUCAUAGAAGACUGCCGGGGUCAACUCGGAGGAAGGUGGGGAUGACGUCAAGUCAUCAUGCCCCUUAUGUCCAGGGCUUCACGCAUGCUACAAUGGCUGGUACAAAGGGCUGCAAUACCGCAAGGUGGAGCGAAUCCCAUAAAGCCAGCCCGGUUCGGAUUGGGGUCUGCAACUCGACCCCAUGAAGUCGGAGUCGCUAGUAAUCGCAGAUCAGCAACGCUGCGGUGAAUACGUUCCCGGGCCUUGUACACACCGCCCGUCAAGUCAUGAAAGUCGGUAACACCCGAAGCCGGUGGCCUAACCCUUGUGGAGGGAGCCGUCGAAGGUGGGACCGGUAAUUAGGACUAAGUCGUAACAAGGUAGCCGUACCGGAAGGUGCGGCU